UAAAAUAGGAUUUAUUUUUCA
RNAcentral lists this non-coding RNA (21 nucleotides) under Caenorhabditis elegans. The record is from RNAcentral. Lineage: Eukaryota; Metazoa; Nematoda; Chromadorea; Rhabditida; Rhabditidae.